This 106-nucleotide non-coding RNA is filed under the name Foraminifera environmental sample. The record is from RNAcentral. Lineage: Eukaryota; Foraminifera.
GUGGCACUUUCAUGCAUCCGAAGGAUCCAGAUGUACGUCAUCCAUCCGUACGUUUAGGAGCGUGUCCUCGGCCCGACACCCUCCUGGCAGCAAUGUUGAGGCAUGA